AUUGAACGCUGGCGGCAGGCCUAACACAUGCAAGUCGAGCGGAUGAAGGGAGCUUGCUCCUGGAUUCAGCGGCGGACGGGUGAGUAAUGCCUAGGAAUCUGCCUGGUAGUGGGGGAUAACGUCCGGAAACGGGCGCUAAUACCGCAUACGUCCUGAGGGGAAAAGUGGGGGAUCUUCGGACCUCACGCUAUCAGAGGAGCCUAGGUCGGAUUAGCUAGUUGGUGGGGUAAAGGCCUACCAAGGCGACGAUCCGUAACUGGUCUGAGAGGAUGAUCAGUCACACUGGAACUGAGACACGGUCCAGACUCCUACGGGAGGCAGCAGUGGGGAAUAUUGGACAAUGGGCGAAAGCCUGAUCCAGCCAUGCCGCGUGUGUGAAGAAGGUCUUCGGAUUGUAAAGCACUUUAAGUUGGGAGGAAGGGCAGUAAGUUAAUACCUUGCUGUUUUGACGUUACCAACAGAAUAAGCACCGGCUAACUUCGUG
Molecule: ribosomal RNA, 484 nt
Filed under: uncultured bacterium
Lineage: Bacteria
Description: partial 16S ribosomal RNA
Rfam family: Bacterial small subunit ribosomal RNA
Source: RNAcentral